AAAAGAGGCGACGAAUGUUGCGUAUACGAUACCAACUGUCCUUAGAGCAAGUUACAAAGGAUUUGGUGGUUGGUGUCCGAGGUCCCAAGUUCGAAUCUUAGUUGAUUCACAUUUCUAGUUAAGUUUGUUUCUAAAUAAAAUAAAUGAAGCGGAUAGCGUGCUACUUAUUUCUCAAACAAAAAAAGAAAAGAAGAAGUUGUGUUUACGAUUAAUUAGAUGGUCAUAAACAUGGAGGACUUAUUAAGAAGACUCAAAAUUGUGUUUUUAUG
Molecule: long non-coding RNA, 269 nt
Filed under: Ananas comosus (pineapple)
Lineage: Eukaryota; Viridiplantae; Streptophyta; Magnoliopsida; Poales; Bromeliaceae
Description: long non-coding RNA (ACOM_LNC042675)
Source: RNAcentral